GGCGCAGCGGGGCGCAGGAGGAACCAGGCCGGACGGUAGGAGUUUGGAGCGGCCCUGGGCAGCGCUGUACCUCCGGGAGGAGGCGCUCCCGGAGAGGCGUCGCCGCGAAGGAGGUGCACCCGGAGAUGCCCCUGACCUUCCAGGAUGUGGCUGUGUAUUUCUCUCCGGCAGAGCAGUAGCAGCUCGGCCCCCAACAACAGACACGUGAUGCUGGAAAAUUACGGAACGUGGCCUCUCUAGGAUUCCCAGUGCCAAAGCCUGAGCUGAUCUCCCAGCUGGAGCAAGGGGAGGAACUGUGGUUCCCAGAUCGCAUGAGAGCUGAGGAACCAGAGGUCUUUGGAAGCUGCUGAACGGGUGAGCGUGGGUGGAGAACCCCCCCAGAGGCUCCCAGGCCUGGCUCGGCUGCAAGAGGGACAGGGAUCCAGGGUCAGGGAUCCAGGGAUAGGGAUCCAGGGACAGGGAUCUGAGGGACAGGAAUCCGAGGGACAGGGAUCCGUGGCUUCUUCUAGAACAGCCUGACACUGGAGUGGUUUUCCUGGUCAUAUCCUUUCAAGUU
Ochotona curzoniae (black-lipped pika) is the source of this 556-nucleotide long non-coding RNA. RefSeq lists it as uncharacterized. The record is from RefSeq and is a predicted model, not a curated record. The transcript is spliced from 3 exons. NCBI's taxonomy places the organism in Eukaryota, Metazoa, Chordata, Mammalia, Lagomorpha, Ochotonidae.